Molecule: ribosomal RNA, 200 nt
Filed under: uncultured bacterium
Lineage: Bacteria
Description: partial 16S ribosomal RNA
Rfam family: Bacterial small subunit ribosomal RNA
Source: RNAcentral
AGAGUUUGAUCAUGGCUCAGGAUGAACGCUAGCGGCAGGCCUAAUACAUGCAAGUCGAGGGGUAGAGGAGAGCUUGCUUUCCUUGAGACCGGCGCACGGGUGCGUAACGCGUAUGCAACCUACCUUUAUCUGGGGGAUAGCCCGAAGAAAUUCGGAUUAAUACCGCAUAAGAUCACGGUACCGCAUGGUACAGAGAUUAA